This 63-nucleotide transfer RNA is filed under the name Leposoma scincoides. Its description in RNAcentral is "tRNA-His". Lineage: Eukaryota; Metazoa; Chordata; Lepidosauria; Squamata; Gymnophthalmidae. The record is from RNAcentral.
UUUUCAUAGUUUAAACAAAACACUAGGUUGUGAUCCUAGUAAUAGAGAGUACUCUUGUGAACC